CUCAUUGUAAGAAAGCCCAAGAGUAAGCUAUGUGAGGUUGAUGGCGAUGCUUAAAAAGCAAUCGACUUACAAGGGUAUGGAAAUGGGCUCGACAUUGAAUCGAGAAAAGUGUGAUUCUAAUAGUUUAAAGCGGUUUUGAAUGGAUGAUGAAAUUAAAAGAAACCAAAUUUGUGUUAUUAAAUAAUAAUGAAACUAUGAGUAUGGGAGAAAUUAUACUAAAACAUAAACAUGAAAAAAAAAUGAACGCUAGAAGAAAUAAAAUGCUAUAUAUGGGUAUUGAACCCACUCCACUAAAGACCAUGAAACUGCCCUCUCUCCACCAGACCAAUUAUGAUGAGUUAUUAUUUACAACCACUUGGGUAUAUAAACCAAAACAAAUUGGAAUAAAAAAUUUUAAAAAAAUAAAAAAUAAAAUAAAAACUAAAAUGAAGUAGUCUGUUGGGUUUUCAAAAGAGAAGUUAAUUGGUGGAGAUAAACAUGAAUAUGUUACGAUUACCCGCAAGCCAAAAUUAAUGACCAACUAAGGGAAACUAAAUGGACACUUAAAUGGAUUUAACGGUCGGUUUAAUAAAGAUUAAAUAAUAAAAAAAAUGAAGAGUGAGGACGCAAACAUCCCAGAACUCAUCGUCC
RNAcentral lists this long non-coding RNA (630 nucleotides) under Lathyrus oleraceus (garden pea). RNAcentral describes it as "Pisum sativum (pea) long non-coding RNA (PSAT_LNC011110)". Lineage: Eukaryota; Viridiplantae; Streptophyta; Magnoliopsida; Fabales; Fabaceae. The record is from RNAcentral.